RNAcentral lists this ribosomal RNA (433 nucleotides) under Babesia microti. Its description in RNAcentral is "SSU rRNA". It matches the Rfam family "Eukaryotic small subunit ribosomal RNA", at positions 500 to 956 of the family's 1831-position model. Lineage: Eukaryota; Apicomplexa; Aconoidasida; Piroplasmida; Babesiidae. The record is from RNAcentral.
GUCUUGUAAUUGGAAUGAUGGGAAUCUAAACCCUUCCCAGAGUAUCAAUUGGAGGGCAAGUCUGGUGCCAGCAGCCGCGGUAAUUCCAGCUCCAAUAGCGUAUAUUAAAGUUGUUGCAGUUAAGAAGCUCGUAGUUGAAUUUCUGCCUUGUCAUUAAUCUCGCCUCCGAGCGUUUUUUUAUUGGCUUGGCAUCUUCUGGAUUUGGUGCCUUCGGGUACUAUUUUCCAGGAUUUACUUUGAGAAAACUAGAGUGUUUCAAACAGGCAUUCGCCUUGAAUACUACAGCAUGGAAUAAUGAAGUAGGACUUUGGUUCUAUUUUGUUGGUUAUUGAGCCAGAGUAAUGGUUAAUAGGAGCAGUUGGGGGCAUUCGUAUUUAACUGUCAGAGGUGAAAUUCUUAGAUUUGUUAAAGACGAACUACUGCGAAAGCAUUU